CUCACUGCUCACAGGUUGAUCCCGUGGUCGGUGUGGUGAUAAACCCGGAGUUGGAACCCCAGUCUCCUUUUGCUAGAGAGGACACCAAGACUUGCCUCACCGGGCUUGAGAAGGAAGAGAAGCAGGAGAAGGGAGCCUUAGCAACUCCAAACCGUGAACAAGGACUGCAAACCAGUGUUUUGUGUAUAAAACAAUAGGCUCCAGACAGAUGAGUAGGGAGCUGGCUACAGAAGAGGAACAGAUUCCAGUUUUCCAGCUGGUCGCCCUGUACAGAGAAAAACCCUCGAGAUCAAAGCUGGGAGAAAGAAGACAAGUGGUGGAGGAGUCAAUGUGUGACAUGGAACAGGUCUGAGCUGAGGAGCUGAGGGACAGGUAAGGCACAAAGGAGCCCUGCAGUGUCACUCUGUCCCGUGCCUGGUGUUUGGUUGCCUCUUCCUUUGCUGUAUUUGA
This 450-nucleotide long non-coding RNA is filed under the name Manacus vitellinus (golden-collared manakin). Its description in RNAcentral is "lncRNA (ENSMVIG00005014114.1)". The record is from RNAcentral. Lineage: Eukaryota; Metazoa; Chordata; Aves; Passeriformes; Pipridae.